Molecule: transfer RNA, 70 nt
Filed under: Rhoptropella ocellata (Namaqua day gecko)
Lineage: Eukaryota; Metazoa; Chordata; Lepidosauria; Squamata; Gekkonidae
Description: tRNA-Tyr
Source: RNAcentral
GGUAGAGUGGCCGAGAAUAGGCGGCGAGUUGUAGCCUCGCCCACAGGGGGCAGGCCCUUUUUACCAAGUC